Molecule: long non-coding RNA, 7975 nt
Organism: Centrocercus urophasianus (Greater sage-grouse)
Lineage: Eukaryota; Metazoa; Chordata; Aves; Galliformes; Phasianidae
Exons: 5
Source: RefSeq, a predicted model, not a curated record
GACGUGAGGCUGCCUCUCCACUGAGAACCAACUCAUUUCUUUUCUCUCAAGUUUUCUUAUUUAAUAUCCUUGCCCUGAGUCCGGUUUAUGCUAAUUAGUUACUAACUGGUGAGGAUUAAUGCAGAAGAAAUAUAAAGCUGUAAGGUUACAUGGCAGUCCUGGGCUUGGUUGUCAGAAGCCACUGUAACCUUUCAUUCUCUUCAAUCAGUGUCGCCACAGCUGUGAUUUCCAAGAGGCAACUCGGAGGACUUCCAGCCACCAGGGCCAAAGUCUCACUGGCACUGUCCUACUGGCAUGUCCCUGGUGGAACUAUGCUGGAGGUCACUGCGUAUCAAACGGGGAUGAUCCAUGCUCAGGUGAAUGCAUGCUUUUCCAAGAUAUUUGCACCUUCUGGCUGGCUCUGCUGUCAUCUGGAUGCCCUAGUGGCAGAAGGGAGGAUGUAGCUUAGCACUUCCUUCUCCAUCAGUCUCAUGACAGAAGCAAGGCAUUUGCUUUUUCUCCCCAGCAGCAGAGUAAAAGCAAGGCUGCUUGAUGCCGGCGAGAAACAUGUGGCUGUCCAACAUAUUGCCUGAAAUCCACAAAAGGAAUCAUUGGUGAGCCGCAAAACAUAUGCUGUGUCAUGCCUUUUUAUUACUGUGCAAGAAUUGCCAAAGAAGCCUAAGGAGGAAUCAAGGACAUCAUCGUUGCGAGGAAAAGAGGAAACAGCCCAGUUUUACAACACCGAGGCUUGUAACCGCUUGCGGUAGAUAGUUUCAGAACUGGUUUAAUUUUAAAUUAUUCUUUUGCCAACUGACAGCAGCUUCAAAGCGACUUUUGUUUGAUUCCACCACUUUCUGAUCCCCACUGAGUCAUUUUACAAUGCCCUGCCAACCAAAGUCCAACCGAUGCAGGCAGCAGCACAGCAGCAUCUGCUCUGUCCUCUGCAUGGGAAGAUGGCAUCACCAAAGGUGGCUCUAGCAGGAAAAGCACUGGUCUCCUGUGCCCACACCGGCUGCUCGAUGUGCUGCUAUUAUCCCAAGGGGUGUUUUCAGUUGGAGAGGAUCAAGGAACCCAUUUGGGUUUAAAAUAAAGAGGCUGAAAGAUAAGAUUACAUUCAACUUGGUCUCUUUCCAGGACACCGGUUUCCUGAGGAGCUGGAGAGAUACAGAAGAAAUGUGGGUUUUGGUAUAUGACAAAUUCACACUGCGACUUCUCCCAAGUGCUUUUGUUUGCGAUGCCUUGGAGCUCAUGCAAAACUACAGAAAAGGCCACAGAGGGGGAGCUUAGCAGAAAGAAGCCUGGUUUCUCCACCAGAGAUGAAUCAUGCUGAAACACAAAGCUAGCCUCUUCCUUAUUGGAAGCUGGGAUAUUGCUUCUGCUGUGCAGAGAGGAUCCCACAGCAGCAGCCUCCAGGCAAUGGGACACACUUCUGGAGUCGUUAUCAUCUGCCAUCAAACACAGCCCUAGGCCCAAGGAGGGGCUUUAAUGAGCAGGGAAAACACCACAGAAGAACUGGAAAUGUUCCCCCCCAGGUCAGUUUGCUCACCAUUAGUGUUUUCUUACCAUCUCUGCUGUAGGCAAAUGCGUUUUCUGUAUGUAAGAAUUUGUAGAACUGAUAACCAACUUCACAGGGAUAGGAAAGGGCAAGAAUGCUUUCAAGAAGCCUCAGGUUUCCUUACACAUCUCUGAAAGACAGUCCACAGUGCAACACAGCCACCAAUAGCAGAGGCUUACUAAUGAUGACAGUGCCUGCAAAGAGCAGAAAUGCAGAAAGUGAUGGAAAGGUUUGUAACAGGGGCUUUGAGAGGGAGAGCACUGCAUCACCAGCAUUUCAGGAAUAAGAGGCUGAUCUGCUCACAGACACAGGCUAACACUCACUGUCCCACCUUGUGCUGCUUUCCGCCCCACAUAUAAAGGAUAUCCAGUGCAAUGCAGUGACACCAAACAUGUCCUUUCAAAGGACUUGAGAUUAUGGUAGUGGUAGAGAUUUGGGAAAAAGUAGCUACUGCAGAAACCUGCAAUUUGUAUUUCAUAUCCUAUUGCACGUGACAAUUCAGUUCUUUUGGGAAACUCCAUUCUCCGGUCAAAAAUAAGCCAGCAAUGUGGAAAGAGUGAGAUAAGCUGUUUGUUCAAGCAGUCACACCUCACAUCCUCAGAGACAUAGGCUGGUCACAGCAGUCACAAUUUUGGCAGUGUCCAACACAAGCUCAGCCCCACUGCCAUGGCAGCUCCAGGAUAACUAUACCUCUAGGGGCAUCGCAAAUGUGCCAGCACACGUGGCAGGCCAGCCUUCAGCCUUGUAGCUUAGGAUGGCAACAGCCUUCAGCCCAGAUCAGCUCAUUGCUUAAGGGAAAGAAGCGCUGGAAACCACUUCUGAGCUCAUCCCAGCAGAGCACCAUUGCCACAGCACUUAUCUGCGGUUAUCUGUAGUUGCAGGUGACCUGACAUGAGACUUACUUGCACUCACACACUUUAAAUUUGAGGCAGGCAUAAAACAUGAGAUAGUACAUGUUGCUCAUGUAGGGAAAUGCCUUCAUUAAUAUUCAACCCUGAGGACUAGCCUAAGGUAGAGAGUUUUUUGGAGCAGUGUGCUGCAUGCAAGACAUUUAAAAUCCAGACACUCCUCUAACACUUGAAAUGCUCAUAGAAGAACUGAUGCACCCAAAACCAGGUCUUCUCAGGAGCUCUAUUUCCUCUGAGCUGUCCGUGCAACAGACUUACCUUGUAUGGGUGGAAAUACUCUUGAUCUCUGAUGAUCAAAGGACAGUCUGAUGUGCCUGCCAGAGAGAAAGAGCAAGCAAAACCUCAAGAAAAUGCAGGACGUGUGGGACUCAUGUCUCCCUAUCUACAUGCUCCUUUGCACCAAGCCAGUGGUAUGAAAAGUGGAUAUCCAUACUCCUUUUGCCUCAGAAGCACAAUUUAGACAAUACUUGAGUCUGUUGGUCACAGUGUGGGUAACUCUGAGGGGGAUGAAACGAUACAUGCAGAGCCACUGGCUAAGGCCUAGUGGCCGAGGUACCCCACAGGGGUCCGGCUGCCCUGCAGCAGCAGUGUGUCCCAGCAGUGUGGCAGGGCAGGUGCUGGGGCAGGAGCUCCCUCCACCAUGCUAAGAUGUCUCUGAGUGAGUCACCGCACUGCCAUCUGAAAUACUGGGUCAGGUGCUCUAGUUUAAACCCCAGAUGACGGUAGGUGAGCAGACAGGCGAGCACACCCCUUCAGUAACAAACCCGUGGGAGGCUGGAAGGUACCUGAGGCCAGGGCAGGUGCUUGCUGAGUGAGUGUGUCAGCGCUCUGAGGCUGGUGGGAACCAUUCCUCUUGGCAUUCGCAUUGCUCUAGAAAUGAGUUACACUGGCGCUGAAGAGCUAGAAACUUUCACAUUGACAUAUAUUUUAAUAGCCAAUUAGACUAAAAUAGUCUUGGUGUAAGUGAAAACUAGACAGUGGCAGUACCCAGGAUAAAACUAAUUGAGAUUAUUUGUGAAUUCCCAGUUACAUUUCUAUUGGAAGAGCCAAAAUGAUGUACCAUGUGUUUAUUCUGGCUCUAGAUGUUUUGUUGUUGUUGUUUUGCUGGCAUUAAACCACCUGUUGGAAGACAGACCUUGCCUUAUCCUACAUAAAGACAGCCAGUACAGUGCUGACUCAUCACCAGUGUUUGAUCAAAUGGAAGUUUACUAUCAUAUGGAUCAGCACUUUGCACCGGGAAGCCCCGGUGUUUGCUAUCCUUCCUUGGAAGUCAUAAAGCCAGGCCUUUUUCUUCCAUCAGCAGCCCACAUGUGCAGGGCUCUAACUGAAAUGGUUUAACACCGGCCCUUUUAUUACACCAGCGCAACUCCUUCCCACACGUUGGCCCUUCACCUGAUGUUACUCAUUGCUUUUUGUUUACACAUAGGAAUUUUAUUUGAUGCAUAAGCAGAUAAGUACUGCAUCUGCUCAGUCGUAUUUCCCUAACACCUCUCCUUUUGUUCUUUUUGCUUUUUAUCUUCUGGGUUUUCUUCGCUAAGGAUCCUUGCCCUCACCCAUCCACUGUCCCCUUACUUCCUUAGCUUCACUCUGCCCACCUCUGCUUCUGCAGUAGAGGAAGCUUGCUUGAUAGCAUUAUGCAAUGCCUUUACUAUUUGGUGAUGUUAAUGCUCUCACUCUGAAUCAAUUUCCUCUUUGUUUGCCUGUGAUGGAAAGCUCCGUGAAAUUUGCAACGGUUUUGCUGAAAUGAGAAAAGGGAAGGACGAGAUCUGCAGCCAGGCACUCUGCAGCCCCUCCCAGCUCUCCAGUGCUCAGGGUAGGGGCGCAGACUGAGUCACUCCACCCUGCACCAGCAAACACCCGUGGAGGCACAAAAGGGCUGCUGACAGCAGGCAGCAUGCAGCCAGCUUGGAUUAAAGGCCACCUCUGGGAAGAGGGGCUCGUGCCCAGAGAGCCUUGGCUCUUCUGGAUGACUCAGCCUGAUUUGCCCCACUCAGGUGGAGGCCAGACCAUCCCCAGUUUGCCUGGGAGCUCCUGCCCCCCUGAGCAGCUCUGGUUGGAGGACUGGUGCCCCCAAUAGCUCUAGGGUGAAGAGAAGCAGUUGGAGGCAGGCUGGAGAGCCCUGCUUCUGCCUCCCCACUGGAAACUAUACUUUCUUGCUUGCUCACGUGCACACUCAGAUUGUGCACUUGAGAAGACGAUAGGCAGGAAUAUUUACAUUCCUUGCCAUGGAUAUGAAGCUGAAUUCCACCCUCCGGUUGCAAGGUGAAUCAGGUCAGAAACACUGUUUCAGAGAACAGAAAUGCAGAGGUACGGCCAAUCAGAUGGGGUGCCGAGCCACCAUGCAACUGCACAACCUUUCCAGCAAUUAGUCCAGCAGAAAGCAAGGGAAGGAUCGCAAGCUCAGUGCUAACCAGGGGUUUUGGCACUUUGCUGGGAAGGCUCACCUGGCAAAGCUGCUCCCUGAGGUCAGCAAGUCUGCUGAGCAGAUACCCCAGCACCCUGUGGCAAAGCUCCUCUGCUGGGGGAACAAGGCUUACUUCUGUGAACUACUGCUGAGAAUGCAUGCUCAGAGCACACAGCAUGUGUGCAGGAAGGAAUGAUGCAGCUGUACCUUCACACCUUUCAGCACUCGCUUACAAAAGGGCAGAAAGAUGUGUUUAAAUUCCCUUUUCUUCUUCCCUUGUUUGGCUAGACAAGUCCCAGGCCAUAUCUGGAUAGCACCAGCUAGACUGUAUGUCUGGCCACUGCAUCCCACUCAUUUUUAAGGAAAAAUAAGCCCCACACUGGAGAGUCUGCUCACAGAUCAGGCAGUUCUCUGCUGGACUGGGCUGCUUGGAGCCUAUGCUCUCCACAUCUGAAACCAGACAACCCCAGGAGCAAAGCUCCACGUUUCCAGUCACUGAUUCACAGCCUCUGGCAGUUCCUGCAGGAUGGCUGAAAACAGUGCCAUGGGGCUAGCAGCUUGCCCCACAGCCAGCGCAUCCCAACCGCAUCUGCCUUGGACCCGGAGAAGGAACCCUAUAAUCCCUGUGUGCUCCUUCAGCAUCACCUAGCAUUUCCAUCCCAAACACUGUGUCUUCCUUCUCCUUCCUGCUCCUUAAUGCAGCCACUCAUAUGGAAAAUGAAUCAGCCUUCCUUGGGCAUGUUUCCAGAGGCCCCUCUGACUAAUUCUGCCCAAAACAGCCAGGCUGACCCUGUGCAAUGGUGUGAUCAUGGCAGACAGGACUGGGUCACGUUUGGGUGGAGGAAGGGAAAAACUGUUUCGCAGGCCUGCCCAAAAAUCCUCAUGUUGACUCUGCCAAAACCACACCAAACAUAUGGCAAAUGAAAUAGCUGGCAUGGAGCUGCUUUGGACAGCAGAAGUGUUUCAGCACUGUGGACUGCUCUUUAGCUGUCUUGAAUGUUAUUUACCCUGUUUAAGCAUCUCCACAUUUAAGGGAGAGAAGGCAAAGAAAAAGGCAGUGCCAAUUUUUUGUGCAUUUGAUGCUUUUAAAAUGCACAUUAUUUUUAUAAUCAUGUUAGCACAGUCCCAAUGCUUGUCCUGUCCUGUGAGAACAGUAAUGGCAUUGCAGAAGGUUUCCCCUCCUUGUGUAGCAACGGACUUCUGUGGAAAAGCACACAGAAGCAUUUUCUCUCUCAAAACAGGAGCUGUGCCUAAUUCACCAUAUAAAUGUCCUGCACAUUUCAUGGAGCUGAUGAAAUCAUGUACAGAUGGAAUUCCUCUUAACAAAGGCUUUAUUCACAGAGCAGGUUUCUCUGCCAUGUAUCUGACUGUAUUCCAGCUUAUACAGCUAUUCCCACUGAAUAUAUCCAUGGAGCCAGACCAUUUUCUGGGCAGAUACCAAAGGUGGAGGUGCUCCCAACACUGCACUGUGGCUUCAUUACAAGUCUGAGGCUGAAGUCAUGCCAAUGAGCACUCCUUUCCUCACUUUGUGUUGUUCACCUGGACUCAAGCACCCAAUGCCAUUUCCAGGGUUUGUCAGGUACUUUGGAAAAAACACUGUAGAACAACAAGAACCUGAGAAAGAGCAUCCAAAGAACCCAGAGUUCGUCAGUCAUUUGGGAGAUGGCCAUAGGAAUGGAGUUGUGGUGGCUACAGCUACAGAAGAAAGAUGAAAAUAAAGCAGCCAAAUGGUGAUGAUCAUGAAAAAAAAAAGAAGAAGUUACUUUUCUGGAGAUCGAGGUAUGGUUUUUUUCCUUGGAGCUGCAGUGGUGGAGUACCAGCAGGAGAGCUCACCUCCUCACCCAGCAGCUGGCAGGCUACUGGGCAGCUUUCCACCAUUCUCUUGAAUAUUGUGGCUUGGGUUUUAACCCUUCUCCAGCCCAAACUCAACCCCCGUAGCUUCUCCCAUUUGUCCAUAAGCCACGGUGUCCUGACACUAUUGCAGUGAUGAGGGCCUUGUGUAAAAGAAGGCAGGGGCUGCUAGCCUGUUCACAUGUACACCUUUCCAGGGCUGAGCACACCGAUCCCCAAAUCCUUUGUCAAUGCAACCUGAUGUAGACAAGGAAAAUAGCAGGCUGAUGUAUGCUGCAGAGCAAACUUCUUGGCACAGUCCAGCAGGAUUCUUUCACGAACCCUUCUCCCUGCCUUUCUUUUUUGCCCUUUGUUCAGUGCUCAGUCAGUAACUCCUUAGGAACAACUCGCAAACUGCCCACUCUGAAAGCGAGAACAGCAACAACAAAAGGAAUGAUAUAGAGGGAUGACUUCAGAGAGUUUGGAAAUAUCUUCUCAAAUGAAACAUUCCUUUGCACACAUACACAAGAAAGCAUCAAAAUUCUCUGCGGCUGAUGUAAACAGCAGAAAGAAAAAGUCAUCUGGAAGGACAGGAUGAUUCAUACCAAGGACCUUGCUGGCAAUAUUCAUCAGUGUUGAAAUCCUCUCUGCAAGAUGACUACAUGCGAAAGCAAAACCAACGAGAUCCCAGCUUUUGCCACGAGAAGCGUCAUUAAUGGCAGAGCAGCAUGGUUAGGCUCCUAAUGCCACAACCCUUGCUCAUGGGAGUUACCCUUGCUCACUCAUCUGACCGGUGGCAGCAAAAAGCCCUGUGUCACCCAGGUGAGAAUGCUUUACGUAAGGGCAGCCACAGCAGCAGGCUGGAGCACGCUCAGCUGUUGCAACCUGUUUUGCAGAAGGGGCUUUGGAGCAGGAACAGAAAGUUCAGAGGCAAAAGAGAAGGGAUUUUCUCCAUCUUGCCAAAACUGCUUGCUAGGGCUUCCUCUCAGAAAUCUCUGAUUUGAACACUUUAGGGAGACUGGAAAGUUCAGCCUAUCUUUCCCUUUAUGUUAAUUGUGUUGAUCCAAAGGGGAACAGGGCACAAAAGGCCACGCUGACUUUAUGCAUUGUUAUGAGAUACUUUCCCCUGCAUAUCUGAAUCUGUUUACUUAAUCUUCCAGGCCUUUACCCAUGAAUAUUAAACUGCUUGAUCACUAUGCAUUAGGAGUCAUCUUUGCACCAUCUGUUUGUAUUUGUCAUCUAACCCUUGUAAAUAAUAAAAUGUACUUUGUUCUCAAGUUCGUGGAUCCUAGCAGGAGA